This 253-nucleotide ribosomal RNA is filed under the name uncultured Crossiella sp. RNAcentral's name for it is "partial 16S ribosomal RNA". It matches the Rfam family "Bacterial small subunit ribosomal RNA", at positions 524 to 776 of the family's 1533-position model. The record is from RNAcentral. Lineage: Bacteria; Bacillati; Actinomycetota; Actinomycetes; Pseudonocardiales; Pseudonocardiaceae.
UACGUAGGGGGCAAGCGUUGUCCGGAAUUAUUGGGCGUAAAGAGCUCGUAGGCGGUCUGUCGCGUCGGACGUGAAAACUCGGGGCUCAACUCCGAGCCUGCGUUCGAUACGGGCAGACUAGAGUUCGGUAGGGGAGACUGGAAUUCCUGGUGUAGCGGUGAAAUGCGCAGAUAUCAGGAGGAACACCGGUGGCGAAGGCGGGUCUCUGGGCCGACACUGACGCUGAGGAGCGAAAGCGUGGGGAGCGAACAGG